RNAcentral lists this ribosomal RNA (253 nucleotides) under uncultured bacterium. Its description in RNAcentral is "partial 16S ribosomal RNA". It matches the Rfam family "Bacterial small subunit ribosomal RNA", at positions 524 to 776 of the family's 1533-position model. The record is from RNAcentral.
UACGAAGGGUGCAAGCGUUAAUCGGAAUUACUGGGCGUAAAGCGUGCGUAGGCGGUUUCUUAAGUCCGUUGUGAAAGCCCUGGGCUCAACCUGGGAACUGCGAUGGAUACUGAGGAGCUGGAGUACGGUAGAGGUGAGUGGAACUGCGAGUGUAGAGGUGAAAUUCGUAGAUAUUCGCAAGAACACCAGUGGCGAAGGCGGCUCACUGGCCCGGUACUGACGCUGAGGUGCGAAAGCGUGGGGAGCAAACAGG